This 132-nucleotide small RNA is filed under the name Escherichia coli. Its description in RNAcentral is "RtT sRNA". It matches the Rfam family "RtT RNA". Rfam says of the family: This family represents a bacterial cis-regulatory element known as RtT RNA. The exact function of RtT is unknown although it is thought that it may be involved in changing the cellular response in relation to amino acid starvation. Lineage: Bacteria; Pseudomonadati; Pseudomonadota; Gammaproteobacteria; Enterobacterales; Enterobacteriaceae. The record is from RNAcentral.
AUUCUGCCCAUGCGGGGAAGGAUGAGAAGCUUCGACCAAGGUUCGACUCGAGCGCCAGCGAGAGAGCGUUGCCGCAGGCAACGACCCGAAGGGCGAAGCGCGCAACACUGAGUAAUCCUUCCCCCACCACCA